This 352-nucleotide unclassified non-coding RNA is filed under the name soil metagenome. RNAcentral's name for it is "partial contains 5.8S ribosomal RNA, internal transcribed spacer 2, and large subunit ribosomal RNA". The stretch from base 1 to 120 matches the Rfam family "5.8S ribosomal RNA", at positions 35 to 154 of the family's 154-position model. The record is from RNAcentral.
GAUGAAGAACGUAGCGAAAUGCGAUAAGUAAUGCGAAUUGCAGAAUCCGUGAGUCAUCGAAUCUUUGAACGCACAUUGCGCCCCUUGGUUAUUCCGAAGGACAUGCCUGUUCGAGCGUCAUUAUCACCCCUCAAGCCCUGGCUUGGUGUUGGACUUUAGUUAUAGCUUUGCCUAUCAACUGGUCUCAAAGAUAGUGACGGCGCCCCAGAGGGAACCGGGUACGAGGAGCUUUUUACUAAGCAUGUAUCUGGGACGACUCUGGGCGACGGUCUUGUUAUACUUUUUACCUAAGUGUUGACCUCGGAUCAGGUAGGAAUACCCGCUGAACUUAAGCAUAUCAAUAAGCGGAGGA